CGGCUAACUCCGUGCCAGCAGCCGCGGUAAUACGGGGGGAGCAAGCGUUGUUCGGAUUUACUGGGCGUAAAGGGCGCGUAGGCGGCCAGCGCAAGUUAGUUGUGAAAUCUCCGGGCUUAACUCGGAAAGGUCAACUGAUACUGCGCGGCUAGAGUGCGGAAGGGGCAACUGGAAUUCUCGGUGUAGCGGUGAAAUGCGUAGAUAUCGUAAGGAAGACCAGUGGCGAAGGCGGGUCUCUGGACAGUUCCUGACGCUGAGGCACGAAGGCCAGGGGAGCAAACGGGAUUAGAUACCCCGGUAGUCCUGGCAGUAAACGGUGCACGUUUGGUGUGGGAGGAUUCGACCCCUUCUGCGCCGGAGCUAACGCGUUAAACGUGCCGCCUGGGGAGUAUGGUCGCAAGAUUAAAACUCAAAGAAAUUGACGGGGGCCCGCACAAGCGGUGGAGUAUGUGGCUCAAUUCGAUGCAACGCGAAGAACCUUACCAGGCCUUGACAUGCAUCUCUAAGUUGGUGAAAGCCAGCGAGUCCCGCAAGGGACAAUUUGCACAGGUGCUGCAUGGCUGUCGUCAGCUCGUGUCGUGAGAUGUUGGGUUAAGUCCCGCAACGAGCGCAACCCCUGUGAACUGUUGCCACCGAGCCGUGAGGCUCGAGCACUCUGUUCAGACUGCCCCGCUUUAACGGGGAGGAAGGUGGGGACGACGUCAAGUCAGUAUGGCCCUUACGGCCUGGGCUGCACACGUACUACAAUGCCCAGCACAGAACGAUCCAAGACCGCAAGGUGGAGGAAAUCACUAAAACUGGGCCCAGUUCAGAUUGGAGUCUGCAACUCGACUCCAUGAAGCCGGAAUCGCUAGUAAUGGCGUAUCAGCUACGACGCCGUGUUUACGUUCCCGGGCCUUGUACACACCGC
This 910-nucleotide ribosomal RNA is filed under the name uncultured bacterium. Its description in RNAcentral is "bacterial SSU rRNA". It matches the Rfam family "Bacterial small subunit ribosomal RNA", at positions 494 to 1393 of the family's 1533-position model. The record is from RNAcentral.